This 208-nucleotide ribosomal RNA is filed under the name uncultured bacterium. RNAcentral describes it as "partial 16S ribosomal RNA". It matches the Rfam family "Bacterial small subunit ribosomal RNA", at positions 568 to 774 of the family's 1533-position model. The record is from RNAcentral.
CGCGUAGGCGGUUUUUCAAGUCGUAUGUGAAAACUUCAGGCUUAACCUGAUGAUUGCAUAUGAAACUGGAUAACUUGAGUACAGCAGAGGAAAGUGGAAUUCCUGGUGUAGCGGUGAAAUGUGCAGAUAUCAGGAAGAACACCAGUAGCGAAGGCGGCUUUCUGGGCUGUUACUGACGCUGAGGCGCGAAAGGCUAGGGGAGCGAACA